CAUAAUAAUUAGUUUUUUAAUUGAAAGCUUGUAUGAAUGGUUAGACAAAAAAAUAGCUGUCUCUUUAUUACUUAUUGAAUUUAACUUUUAAGUGAAAAGGCUUAAAUUUUUUAGAGUGACGAUAAGACCCUAUAAAAGUUUAUAUAUAGAUUAAUAUAUCUUAAAUUAUUUAUAUUUAGUUAAUUUGAUUGUUAUAUUUUAUUGGGGUGAUAAAAAAAUAAUUUAUAUUAACUGUUUUUUUUUUAAUACAAUUUUAAAUGAAAUGUUAGUGAUCCUUAUUUAAAGAUUAAAAGAUAAAGUUACUUUAGGGAUAACAGCGUAAUUUUUUUUGAAAGUUCAUAUUAAUAAAAAAGUUUGCGACCUCGAUGUUGAAUUAAAAUAUCUAUUAAAUGCAGCAGUCUAAAUGAG
RNAcentral lists this ribosomal RNA (408 nucleotides) under Macropodia parva. RNAcentral describes it as "partial 16S ribosomal RNA". Lineage: Eukaryota; Metazoa; Arthropoda; Malacostraca; Decapoda; Inachidae. The record is from RNAcentral.